GAGCGCCGUAGCAAUACGGAGCGGCAGACGGGAGGGUAACACGUGGGAACGUGCCCUUCAGUUCGGAACAACCUAGGGAAACUUGGGCUAAUACCGGAUACGUCCGUAAGGAGAAAGAUUUAUCGCUGAAGGAUCGGCCCGCGUCUGAUUAGCUAGUUGGUGAGGUAAUGGCUCACCAAGGCGACGAUCAGUAGCUGGUCUGAGAGGAUGAUCAGCCUCGCUGGGACUGAGACACGGCCCAGACUCCUACGGGAGGCAGCAGUGGGGAAUAUUGGACAAUGGGCGCAAGCCUGAUCCAGCCAUGCCGCGUGGGUGAUGAAGGCCCUAGGGUUGUAAAGCCCUUUCGGCGGGGAAGAUAAUGACGGUACCCGCAGAAGAAGCCCCGGCUAACUUCGUG
This 397-nucleotide ribosomal RNA is filed under the name uncultured bacterium. RNAcentral's name for it is "bacterial SSU rRNA". It matches the Rfam family "Bacterial small subunit ribosomal RNA", at positions 64 to 507 of the family's 1533-position model. The record is from RNAcentral.